UAUCUCAACCCAUGAGUUUUCCUUUUUUUCUGAUCCUCUUCCCCCAUCACACAGCUGUGUGGGGUUCAGCUGCCUGCUGGGCUAAACCACAGCACAGCUACACUGUUAGAGAACUGAUGAACAAGUGAAGUGCAUUGAUCGAUACCCACAGAGCAAACGAACCACGUUGUCUGGCUUUAACAGGAACCACUCAGUUUUCAAGAGCCUGUACACUCCAGCUCUCCUCACUGGUGUGACAGAGCAAUUUGGCUGCUAGCCCACAAGCAAAGCGUUUCCCAAACAAAGGAAAUCAAUAUUUCUAUGUAUCCAUUCAUGGACAUACAUCCCAUUUAGAGUAAAACACUCAUGCAGUUAACUGCAUAUGUGGUUGUCUCCAUUUAGGAGCACAGCAAUUUAAUUACACCAAAAAUAUUGGAGGCUAGAUGGAGAUCUGGAAAAAACAAAACCCAGUUGUCAAACCUUUUGAUCUCGGUCUCUUUGGGUGUGUUCUAAGGAAAACAGGCUGUCAGUGAGCAACAAUCUGAUUAUUUGUUCCUUGUCUGACUCCAGGAAGGGCACUGGAACAAAGGACCCAGUUUUCAGGUGAGCCCUGGUCUUGGGUGAGAGCCACCUGGCAAUGCCUCGGUGCAGUGAGGACUGAGGUAACAACCUACCUCAUCCCUGGAAAGGAACCAGAACCAAAAGUGACAGUUUAUCCAUGUACCCAACUGACAGGAUUCAGCUGCCACCUGUAAUAGAAGUACAUAACAAACCAGAAGUAUUACGAUAGCCUGACCUGCUCACGGAGAAAGAGGAGUGUUGGGUGUACCUGGGCAUUCGUCCAAACAUGCCUUUUUCUAUGCAGGCUUUGUCUCCGUUAUCUGUGUUUAUCUUACAUUAGGACUGGAUCACAGCAACAGAAGGUAAUACACAGCCAGGCUAGAAAACUGAUCUCAAAUAAGGACAAUGGAGACACCGACCGUUUCAAGUCAUGGAUAAAAUCCAAGAUGCUGAUUUCAAUUCAAUAUGUCUUUGGGACCUGGUAUGAGCUACCAAAGAGCCUUCACUUGGUAACUCCCCAGCCUGGCUAUCCACAAUCCCAAAAGGACACGGAAACAGAGGAGCACAUACUCCGUUGAAUAUCCCAACCUGCCAGACCAGACUAACCUGCCCAAGCAGCUGAGCUGGUAAGAGGUAAAUGAGAGCAAGAUGGGGAAGAUGGCCCACAGCAGAACUGUAACGGUCAUGCAGGGGCAGAGGUAGAAACAACAGAUAAACCCAGGAUGCACGCAGCUGAUUGCAGCUGUGUCUGCCUGGAGUAUCUCUGCAAAACAGAUGUGCUCUUGCAAAAGUGAGGAUGAGUCCCAGAGGACCUGAAGUGAAGCCUUGCAGAAACCAAGUCCCAAUGCUUCAGACCAGCCCUAUAAUCACAAAUAACUUGUUCACACCUACAGAGGAAACUUCCACAACAAAAACCGUCUGGUCCUUAGCUCAGUGCUAUAAAUCCACAAACUUCCUUUUCCCAGUUACACCAGUGAAAUGUAUUUUUUAAACUCUUGUCUUUAUUAUAAAGUACUUUUGUAAAAUGGCAGAUUACAUUUAAUACCUGCAUUUAACAAUACAAUCUGGGUUUGACACAGUGGCAGCACAACGGAAUAAAAUGCUACUCUGAAGAAGGGUAAUUCAGGCUUUAGCUUGCCUCCAAAGGUUCACUGCAGAAAACAUUCCUCAUCACAACUACUGUAACAGACAGGGUGGAGAACCUAUGGGGUUUUUUCACUAAAGCCAUGAUGUGUAAAGCCUGAUGGUGCUUUAUCAGAGCCUGAGCCCAGCACGAAUUCUGCUUUGAUUAACGUUAACUCAUUUUUUUCACUGCAACACACACACUGAAUGAAGUCUUUGUGUUCAUAUUCCAUCUCUAGGAUUCUAUCAUUGUGAGAUAAUAUAGCAGUGGGAAUCUUCUGGGAUACCUGAUAAAAUAGUCUUCACCAAUAAAUAGAAAACUCACAGCAUAAAGUCUCAGCUUUAAAAUCUGAUGAGAAGUUUCACUGCAGGAUGGCGUCUCAGACAAAGUAUUACUAUAAAACAUUCUUCUCUAGUUUCCCUUCAGCCUCUACUUGCAUUUAUCCCAACUACUGCAAAAUAUGAUCAAAAUUCUCAGCAAACAUCCAUAUAUUCACUUUUCCCUUCUUAGCUCUGCUUCUCCAAAGUGAGAAGCUCUUCUCUCCAGAGUGGAAAGCCAUGAGAGCCACUGGGCUGUGCACGUUUGAGGAGCAAC
Pezoporus flaviventris is the source of this 2257-nucleotide long non-coding RNA. RefSeq lists it as uncharacterized. The transcript has 4 exons. The record is from RefSeq and is a predicted model, not a curated record. Lineage: Eukaryota; Metazoa; Chordata; Aves; Psittaciformes; Psittacidae.